UACGAAGGGUGCAAGCGUUACUCGGAAUUACUGGGCGUAAAGGGUGCGUAGGUGGUUUUUUAAGUCCGUUGUGAAAUCCAUGGGCUCAACCUGGGAAUGGCAGUGGAUACUGGAAAGCUAGAGUGCGGUAGAGGAUAGUGGAAUUCCCAGUGUAGUGGUGAAAUACGUAGAGAUUGGGAAGAACACCAGUGGCGAAGGCGGCUAUCUGGACGGUUUCUGACACUAAGACUCGAAAGCGUGGGGAGCAAACAGG
RNAcentral lists this ribosomal RNA (253 nucleotides) under uncultured bacterium. RNAcentral describes it as "partial 16S ribosomal RNA". It matches the Rfam family "Bacterial small subunit ribosomal RNA", at positions 524 to 776 of the family's 1533-position model. The record is from RNAcentral.